Molecule: ribosomal RNA, 254 nt
Filed under: uncultured bacterium
Lineage: Bacteria
Description: partial 16S ribosomal RNA
Rfam family: Bacterial small subunit ribosomal RNA
Source: RNAcentral
UACGGGGGGAGCAAGCGUUGUUCGGAUUUACUGGGCGUAAAGGGCGCGUAGGCGGCCAGCACAAGUCAGUUGUGAAAUCUCCGAGCUUAACUCGGAAAGGUCAACUGAUACUGUGCGGCUAGAGUGCGGAAGGGGCAACUGGAAUUCUUGGUGUAGCGGUGAAAUGCGUAGAUAUCGGGAGGAACACCAGUGGCGAAGGCGACUACCUGGCCCAUUCUUGACGCUGAGGCGCGAAAGCUAGGGGAGCGAACGGG